UACGGGGGGGGCAAGCGUUGUUCGGAAUUACUGGGCGUAAGGGCGCGUAGGCGGCCUGCUAAGUCACACGUGAAAUCCCCGGGCUCAACCUGGGAACUGCAUUUGUGACUGCAUGGCUAGAGUACGGUAGAGGGGGAUGGAAUUCCGCGUGUAGCAGUGAAAUGCGUAGAUAUGCGGAGGAACACCGAUGGCGAAGGCAAUCCCCUGGACCUGUACUGACGCUCAUGCACGAAAGCGUGGGGAGCAAACAGG
This 252-nucleotide ribosomal RNA is filed under the name uncultured bacterium. RNAcentral's name for it is "partial 16S ribosomal RNA". It matches the Rfam family "Bacterial small subunit ribosomal RNA", at positions 524 to 776 of the family's 1533-position model. The record is from RNAcentral.